This 74-nucleotide transfer RNA is filed under the name Candidatus Omnitrophota bacterium. RNAcentral describes it as "tRNA-Val". It matches the Rfam family "tRNA". Rfam says of the family: Transfer RNA (tRNA) molecules are approximately 80 nucleotides in length. Lineage: Bacteria; Pseudomonadati; Candidatus Omnitrophota. The record is from RNAcentral.
GGGCGCAUAGCUCAGCUGGUUAGAGCACUUCUUUUACAAGGAAGGGGUCUAAGGUUCGAAUCCUUAUGCGCCCA